UAAGUCAGAACCGUGCUAGAAACGAUGAUGUUGGUCCCGCACAUAUUAGCUGUGUUAAAAUAGAGCUUUGCUCGUGAACCAAAUCAGACAGACGUGGAUGCUGCAGUGGAAAUCUGUGGUGUCUAGUUUGUGAAUUGUAAUUACCAUAUGGGCGGGGGUGAAUCCUUUGCAGACGACUUGAAUGGGAACGGGGUACUGUAAGCAGUAGAGUAGCUUGUUGCUACGAUCUGCUGAGGUUAAGCCCUUGUUUUAAAGAUUUGU
RNAcentral lists this ribosomal RNA (261 nucleotides) under Rhizoctonia solani. RNAcentral's name for it is "partial 28S rRNA". It matches the Rfam family "Eukaryotic large subunit ribosomal RNA", at positions 3131 to 3401 of the family's 3401-position model. Lineage: Eukaryota; Fungi; Basidiomycota; Agaricomycetes; Cantharellales; Ceratobasidiaceae. The record is from RNAcentral.